GCCGGGCUGACUCAGUCAGUGGAGCGUGCGACUCUUGAUCUCAGGGCUGUGGGUUCGAGCCCCACGUUGGGUG
Molecule: transfer RNA, 73 nt
Filed under: Ailuropoda melanoleuca (giant panda)
Lineage: Eukaryota; Metazoa; Chordata; Mammalia; Carnivora; Ursidae
Rfam family: tRNA
About the family: Transfer RNA (tRNA) molecules are approximately 80 nucleotides in length. Their secondary structure includes four short double-helical elements and three loops (D, anti-codon, and T loops).
Source: Rfam by way of RNAcentral